GACGAACGCUGGCGGCGUGCCUAAUACAUGCCAGUAGAACGCACAGUUUAUACCGUAGCUUGCUACACCAUAGACUGUGAGUUGCGAACGGGUGAGUAACGCGUAGGUAACCUGCCUGGUAGCGGGGGAUAACUAUUGUAAACGAUAGCUAAUACCGCAUAAUAUUAAUUAUUGCAUGAUAAUUAAUUGAAAGGUGCAAUUGCACCACUACCAGAUGGACCUGCGUUGUAUUAGCUAGUAGGUGAGGUAACGGCUCACCUAGGCGACGAUACAUAGCCGACCUGAGAGGGUGAUCGGCCACACUGGGACUGGGACACGGCCCAGACUCCUACGGGAGGCAGCAGUAGGGAAUCUUUGGCAAUGGACGAAAGUCUGACCGAGCAACGCCGCGUGAGGGAAGAAGGUUUUCGGAUCGUAAAGCUCUGUUGUAAGAGAAGAACGGGUGUGAGAGUGGAAAGUUCACACUGUGACGGUAUCUUACCAGAAAGGGACGGCUAACUACGUG
Molecule: ribosomal RNA, 505 nt
Filed under: uncultured bacterium
Lineage: Bacteria
Description: partial 16S ribosomal RNA
Rfam family: Bacterial small subunit ribosomal RNA
Source: RNAcentral